GAAUUCGCCCUUAGAGUUUGAUCCUGGCUCAGGAUGAACGCUGGCGGCGUGCCUAACACAUGCAAGUCGAGCGAGAACCGAAAAGACAGAAGCUUCGGCCGAAGGAUUUUUGGGGAAAGCGGCGGACGGGUGAGUAACGCGUAGGUAACCUGCCCUAUACACGGGGAUAGCCACUGGAAACGGUGAUUAAUACCCGAUAGUCUCUUGUAACGCAUGUUAUGAGAGGGAAAGAUUUAUCGGUAUGGGAUGGACCUGCGUCUGAUUAGCUAGUUGGUGGGGUAAUGGCCUACCAAGGCAACGAUCAGUAGCCGACCUUAGAGGGUGAUCGGCCACACUGGGACUGAGAACGGCCCAGACUCCUACGGGAGGCAGCAGUGGGGAAUAUUGCACAAUGGAGGGAACUCUGAUGCAGCAACGCCGCGUGAGUGAUGAAAUAUUUCGAUAUGUAAAGCUCUGUUCUAGGGGAAGAAAAUGACGGUACCCUAGCAGCAAGCCCCGGCUAACUACGUGCCAGCAGCCGCGGUAAUACGUAGGGGGCAAGCGUUAUCCGGAAUUAUUGGGCGUAAAGCGUACGCAGGCGGCCAAAAAGGUCAGAGGUGAAAGACAGGGGCUCAACCCCUGCGAGCCUUUGAAACCAUUUGGCUUGAGCAUAGGAGGGGAAAGUGGAAUUUCUAGUGUAGCGGUGAAAUGCGUAGAUAUUAGAAGGAACACCGGUGGCGAAGGCGACUUUCUGGACUAUGUCUGACGCUGAGGUACGAAAGCGUGGGUAGCGAACAGGAUUAGAUACCCUGGUAGUCCACGCCGUAAACGAUGAGAAAUAGGUGUAGGGCCAAACCCUGUGCCGAAGAUAACGCAUUAAGUUCUCCGCCUGGGGAGUACGUUCGCAAGAAUGAAACUUAAAGGAAUAGACGGGGGCCCGCACAAGCAGUGGAGCAUGUGGUUUAAUUCGAAGAUACGCGAAGAACCUUACCAGGGCUUGACAUAGUGUCUAGGACUCUAGAGAUAGAGGGAUAAUAGGUACAUACAGGUGGUGCAUGGUUGUCGUCAGCUCGUGUCGUGAGAUGUUAGGUUAAGUCCUCCAACGAGCGCAACCCUUGUCCUUAGUUGCCAGCAUUUAGUUGGGGACUCUAGGGAGACCGCCGGCGUAAGCCGGAGGAAGGUGGGGAUGACGUCAAAUCAUCAUGCUCUUUAUGUCUUGGGCGACACACGUGCUACAAUGGUCGGUACAAUGAGAUGCAAAAUCGCGAGGUAGAGCAAAUCUAUAAAGCCGAUCUCAGUUCGGAUUGGAGUGUGCAACUCGACUCCACGAAGUCGGAAUUGCUAGUAAUCGCGCAUCAGC
This 1339-nucleotide ribosomal RNA is filed under the name uncultured bacterium. RNAcentral describes it as "bacterial SSU rRNA". It matches the Rfam family "Bacterial small subunit ribosomal RNA", at positions 1 to 1353 of the family's 1533-position model. The record is from RNAcentral.